GAAAUGCGAUAAGUAAUAUGAAUUGCAGAUAUUCGUGAAUCAUCGAAUCUUUGAACGCACAUUGCGCCCUUUGGUAUUCCAAAGGGCAUGCCUGUUUGAGCGUCAUUUCUCCCUCAAACCCUCGGGUUUGGUGUUGAGCGAUACGCUGGGUUUGCUUGAAAGAAAGGCGGAGUAUAAACUAAUGGAUAGGUUUUUUCCACUCAUUGGUACAAACUCCAAAACUUCUUCCAAAUUCGACCUCAAAUCAGGUAGGACUACCCGCUGAACUUAA
This 271-nucleotide unclassified non-coding RNA is filed under the name uncultured Candida. Its description in RNAcentral is "sequence contains ITS1". The stretch from base 1 to 105 matches the Rfam family "5.8S ribosomal RNA", at positions 50 to 154 of the family's 154-position model. Lineage: Eukaryota; Fungi; Ascomycota; Saccharomycetes; Saccharomycetales. RNAcentral also lists the same sequence under 2 other names. The record is from RNAcentral.